GAUUUCUGACAAACCGUUGCGGCCCUUUGCUCUUUUGGGCGAUGUGUGCCGUGUCGUGUUUGCCAUCCUUCCAGAAAGCUGCGUCUACCAUUUACUUGGCCGGACGUAUGCAAUCUGGAUCGAUUACUUUGAAAAAAUUAGAGUGUUUAAAGCAGGCAGACGCUGUGAAUACAUUAGCAUGGAAUAAUGAUUUAGGACUUCUGGUCCUAUUUUGUUGGUUUUCUGGACUGAAGUAAUGAUUGAUAGGGGCAAUUGGGGGUGCUAGUAUUCCGCGGCCAGAGGUGAAAUUCUUGGAUUCGCGGAAGACUAACUACUGCGAAAGCAUU
This 326-nucleotide ribosomal RNA is filed under the name Trinematidae sp. Its description in RNAcentral is "SSU rRNA". The stretch from base 113 to 326 matches the Rfam family "Eukaryotic small subunit ribosomal RNA", at positions 741 to 955 of the family's 1831-position model. The record is from RNAcentral. Lineage: Eukaryota; Cercozoa; Imbricatea; Euglyphida; Trinematidae.